Molecule: ribosomal RNA, 301 nt
Filed under: uncultured bacterium
Lineage: Bacteria
Description: partial 16S ribosomal RNA
Rfam family: Bacterial small subunit ribosomal RNA
Source: RNAcentral
CAGCAGCCGCGGGAAUACGGAGGGUGCAAGCGUUAAUCGGAAUUACUGGGCGUAAAGCGUGCGCAGGCGGUUCGUUAAGACAGAUGUGAAAUCCCCGGGCUUAACCUGGGAACUGCAUUUGUGACUGGCGAGCUAGAGUAUGGCAGAGGGGGGUAGAAUUCCACGUGUAGCAGUGAAAUGCGUAGAGAUGUGGAGGAAUACCGAUGGCGAAGGCAGCCCCCUGGGCCAAUACUGACGCUCAUGCACGAAAGCGUGGGGAGCAAACAGGAUUAGAGACCCGCGUAGUCCCUGUCUCUUAUAC